GCAAGUCGAGCGGUAACACUUCGGGUGACGAGCGGCGAACGGGUGAGUAACACGUAAACAAUUUGCCCUUUAGUGGGGGACAACCAUUCUAACGGAUGGCUAAUACCGCAUAGGGUAUAAGAACCGCAUGGUUUUUAUACGAAAGGCUUCGGCCGCUGAAGGAUAGGUUUGCGUACUAUUAGCUUGUUGGUAAGGUAACGGCUUACCAAGGCAACGAUAGUUAGCCGGCCUGAGAGGGUGAAC
Molecule: ribosomal RNA, 243 nt
Filed under: uncultured bacterium
Lineage: Bacteria
Description: partial 16S ribosomal RNA
Rfam family: Bacterial small subunit ribosomal RNA
Source: RNAcentral